GGGUUGUGAGGUUAAGCGACUAAGCGUACACGGUGGAUGCCCUGGCAGUCAGAGGCGAUGAAGGGCGUGCUAAUCUGCGAUAAGCGCCGGUAAGGUGAUAUGAACCGUUAUAACCGGCGAUACCCGAAUGGGGAAACCCAGUGUGACUCGUCACACUAUCAUUAACUGAAUCCAUAGGUUAAUGAGGCGAACCGGGGGAACUGAAACAUCUAAGUACCCCGAGGAAAAGAAAUCAACCGAGAUUCCCCCAGUAGCGGCGAGCGAACGGGGAGGAGCCCAGAGCCUGAAUCAGCAUGUGUGUUAGUGGAAGCGUCUGGAAAGGCGCGCGAUACAGGGUGACAGCCCCGUACACAAAAGCGCAUGUGCUGUGAGCUCGAUGAGUAGGGCGGGACACGUGGUAUCCUGUCUGAAUAUGGGGGGACCAUCCUCCAAGGCUAAAUACUCCUGACUGACCGAUAGUGAACCAGUACCGUGAGGGAAAGGCGAAAAGAACCCCGGCGAGGGGAGUGAAAAAGAACCUGAAACCGUGUACGUACAAGCAGUGGGAGCCCCACCACCAAAGCAUUUGCUGUACCGCGUUGACGGAGCGAAGCGACGUCAAACCGAUAAAACAGCAGUGUAAAGUGAGCCGCAGGGCGCUUUGCGCGACAGCGCAAAGGCAGGCGGUUUCGCGUAGCGAAAGCGAAUGCUUUGGGGUGGGGUGACUGCGUACCUUUUGUAUAAUGGGUCAGCGACUUAUAUUCUGUAGCAAGGUUAACCGAAUAGGGGAGCCGGAGGGAAACCGAGUCUUAAUUGGGCGUUAAGUUGCAGGGUAUAGACCCGAAACCCGGUGAUCUAGCCAUGGGCAGGUUGAAGGUUGGGUAACACUAACUGGAGGACCGAACCGACUAAUGUUGAAAAAUUAGCGGAUGACCUGUGGCUGGGGGUGAAAGGCCAAUCAAACCGGGAGAUAGCUGGUUCUCCCCGAAAGCUAUUUAGGUAGCGCCUCGUGAAUUCAUCUCCGGGGGUAGAGCACUGUUUCGGCUAGGGGGCCAUCCCGGCUUACCAACCCGAUGCAAACUGCGAAUACCGGAGAAUGUUAUCACGGGAGACACACGGCGGGUGCUAACGUCCGUCGUGAAGAGGGAAACAACCCAGACCGCCAGCUAAGGUCCCAAAGUCAUGGUUAAGUGGGAAACGAUGUGGGAAGGCCCAGACAGCCAGGAUGUUGGCUUAGAAGCAGCCAUCAUUUAAAGAAAGCGUAAUAGCUCACUGGUCGAGUCGGCCUGCGCGGAAGAUGUAACGGGGCUAAACCAUGCACCGAAGCUGCGGCAGCGACACUGUGUGUUGUUGGGUAGGGGAGCGUUCUGUAAGCCUGUGAAGGUGUGUCGUGAGGCAUGCUGGAGGUAUCAGAAGUGCGAAUGCUGACAUAAGUAACGAUAAAGCGGGUGAAAAGCCCGCUCGCCGGAAGACCAAGGGUUUCUGUCCAACGUUAAUCGGGGCAGGGUGAGUCGACCCCUAAGGCGAGGCCGAAAGGCGUAGUCGAUGGGAAACGGGUUAAUAUUCCCGUACUUGGUGUUACUGCGAAGGGGGGACGGAGAAGGCUAUGUUGGCCGGGCGACGGUUGUCCCGGUUUAAGCGUGUAGGUGUGUGUUCCAGGUAAAUCCGGUUCACUUUAACACUGAGGCGUGACGACGAGGCACUACGGUGCUGAAGCAACAAAUGCCCUGCUUCCAGGAAAAGCCUCUAAGCAUCAGGUAACAUCAAAUCGUACCCCAAACCGACACAGGUGGUCAGGUAGAGAAUACCAAGGCGCUUGAGAGAACUCGGGUGAAGGAACUAGGCAAAAUGGUGCCGUAACUUCGGGAGAAGGCACGCUGACACGUAGGUGAAGUGAUUUACUCAUGGAGCUGAAGUCAGUCGAAGAUACCAGCUGGCUGCAACUGUUUAUUAAAAACACAGCACUGUGCAAACACGAAAGUGGACGUAUACGGUGUGACGCCUGCCCGGUGCCGGAAGGUUAAUUGAUGGGGUCAGCGCAAGCGAAGCUCCUGAUCGAAGCCCCGGUAAACGGCGGCCGUAACUAUAACGGUCCUAAGGUAGCGAAAUUCCUUGUCGGGUAAGUUCCGACCUGCACGAAUGGCGUAAUGAUGGCCAGGCUGUCUCCACCCGAGACUCAGUGAAAUUGAACUCGCUGUGAAGAUGCAGUGUACCCGCGGCAAGACGGAAAGACCCCGUGAACCUUUACUAUAGCUUGACACUGAACAUUGAGCCUUGAUGUGUAGGAUAGGUGGGAGGCUUUGAAGUGUGGACGCCAGUCUGCAUGGAGCCGACCUUGAAAUACCACCCUUUAAUGUUUGAUGUUCUAACGUGGACCCGUUACCCGGGUUGCGGACAGUGUCUGGUGGGUAGUUUGACUGGGGCGGUCUCCUCCUAAAGAGUAACGGAGGAGCACGAAGGUUGGCUAAUCCUGGUCGGACAUCAGGAGGUUAGUGCAAUGGCAUAAGCCAGCUUGACUGCGAGCGUGACGGCGCGAGCAGGUGCGAAAGCAGGUCAUAGUGAUCCGGUGGUUCUGAAUGGAAGGGCCAUCGCUCAACGGAUAAAAGGUACUCCGGGGAUAACAGGCUGAUACCGCCCAAGAGUUCAUAUCGACGGCGGUGUUUGGCACCUCGAUGUCGGCUCAUCACAUCCUGGGGCUGAAGUAGGUCCCAAGGGUAUGGCUGUUCGCCAUUUAAAGUGGUACGCGAGCUGGGUUUAGAACGUCGUGAGACAGUUCGGUCCCUAUCUGCCGUGGGCGCUGGAGAACUGAGGGGGGCUGCUCCUAGUACGAGAGGACCGGAGUGGACGCAUCACUGGUGUUCGGGUUGUCAUGCCAAUGGCACUGCCCGGUAGCUAAAUGCGGAAGAGAUAAGUGCUGAAAGCAUCUAAGCACGAAACUUGCCCCGAGAUGAGUUCUCCCUGAGACUUUAGGUCUCCUGAAGGAACGUUGAAGACGACGACGUUGAUAGGCCGGGUGUGUAAGCGCAGCGAUGCGUUGAGCUAACCGGUACUAAUGAACCGUGAGGCUUAACCUUACAACGCCGAAG
Molecule: ribosomal RNA, 3065 nt
Filed under: Salmonella enterica subsp. enterica serovar Enteritidis
Lineage: Bacteria; Pseudomonadati; Pseudomonadota; Gammaproteobacteria; Enterobacterales; Enterobacteriaceae
Also listed under: 1 other name
Description: bacterial LSU rRNA
Rfam family: Bacterial large subunit ribosomal RNA
Source: RNAcentral